CAGCCGCCGCGGGAAUACAGAGGGUGCAAGCGUUAAUCGGAAUUACUGGGCGUAAAGCGCGCGUAGGUGGUUUGUUAAGUUGGAUGUGAAAGCCCCGGGCUCAACCUGGGAACUGCAUCCAAAACUGGCAAGCUAGAGUACGGUAGAGGGUGGUGGAAUUUCCUGUGUAGCGGUGAAAUGCGUAGAUAUAGGAAGGAACACCAGUGGCGAAGGCGACCACCUGGACUGAUACUGACACUGAGGUGCGAAAGCGUGGGGAGCAAACAGGAUUAGAUACCCCAGUAGUCCCUGUCUCUUAUAC
RNAcentral lists this ribosomal RNA (301 nucleotides) under uncultured bacterium. RNAcentral's name for it is "partial 16S ribosomal RNA". It matches the Rfam family "Bacterial small subunit ribosomal RNA", at positions 509 to 807 of the family's 1533-position model. The record is from RNAcentral.